RNAcentral lists this ribosomal RNA (497 nucleotides) under uncultured bacterium. RNAcentral describes it as "partial 16S ribosomal RNA". It matches the Rfam family "Bacterial small subunit ribosomal RNA", at positions 28 to 507 of the family's 1533-position model. The record is from RNAcentral.
GAUGAACGCUGGCGGCGUGCCUAAUACAUGCAAGUCGAGCGAACAGACGAGAAGCUUGCUCCUCUGACGUUAGCGGCGGACGGGUGAGUAACACGUGGAUAACCUACCUAUAAGACUGGGAUAACUUCGGGAAACCGGAGCUAAUACCGGAUAAUAUAUUGAACCGCAUGGUUCAAAAGUGAAAGACGGUCUUGCUGUCACUUAUAGAUGGAUCCGCGCCGCAUUAGCUAGUUGGUAAGGUAACGGCUUACCAAGGCAACGAUGCGUAGCCGACCUGAGAGGGUGAUCGGCCACACUGGAACUGAGACACGGUCCAGACUCCUACGGGAGGCAGCAGUAGGGAAUCUUCCGCAAUGGGCGAAAGCCUGACGGAGCAACGCCGCGUGAGUGAUGAAGGUCUUCGGAUCGUAAAACUCUGUUAUUAGGGAAGAACAAAUGUGUAAGUAACUAUGCACGUCUUGACGGUACCUAAUCAGAAAGCCACGGCUAACUACGUG